RNAcentral lists this unclassified non-coding RNA (505 nucleotides) under Hevea brasiliensis (rubber tree). The record is from RNAcentral. Lineage: Eukaryota; Viridiplantae; Streptophyta; Magnoliopsida; Malpighiales; Euphorbiaceae.
GAUUGCUCGCUGCCUCACUAGCUCCCAUUUUCAGGUUUGUGAAUGUUAACCCAUGUUUCAGAGCUAUGCUUUUAAAUACAUAAUUUGGCUUGCUAGAAUUUGGAUACUUUGGGUAGGUAUGGUUCCUUGGGGUCUAUUCUGUAUUUGGAAAUCCAAAAUGCUACAAGUCAUGAUUAAGAUAAAUAUUUUCUCUUUGGAGAAAUUGUUGUUGAUAAUUUCACCUUUUGUCUGUUUUAUGUGUGUAUUGUAUUAAUUAUUGGUUUCUUUUUGUAUGUUGCAAAAUUCCACUUUUUUAUUCAUGCCUUACACGUGUUUCAUUCCCUAUUAGCUGGUAUUAUUGCUUAUGUAUAUUGAAUUGAUAUUCUUUUCAAGGUUAGUUGCAACCUGUUUUGUCGGUUGCAUUCUUCUAGUACAAUAGUUACAGUAUUUUCAUUCUUUUCUUCUUGUUGUUGCUAAUGCAAUGUUAUAUAGCUGACAUCUUGUUGAUGAGGUUAAAAAAAAAAAA